This 644-nucleotide long non-coding RNA is filed under the name Ananas comosus (pineapple). RNAcentral's name for it is "long non-coding RNA (ACOM_LNC030248)". The record is from RNAcentral. Lineage: Eukaryota; Viridiplantae; Streptophyta; Magnoliopsida; Poales; Bromeliaceae.
ACUGUAUAGAAGUAUCCAAAUCAAAAAUGUUUUUUACACUUUCUACAGUAAGAUCAAUAUUUUUGAUCGAAAAUUUUAAUGCUAUAUUCCUACUUUUUGUAAGUUUUUUAUUUUUAGUCAUUGAUUUUGAACCGUUUUGAUUACUAGAUAAAUGAUAUCAAAAAAUUAUAAAAUUUAUUUUCUAAAUACUUUAAAUAUAUUAGAUCAAGUCUAGCGAAGCCGAUCAUUGAUUCGGAUAUUCCAUCAUCGAAAACCACUCAGGAGCACAAUAGCCUUGCGCGCGCGCGCACUCUCUCUAUUAUAUAUAUAUAGAGAGAGAGAGAGAGAGAGAGAGAGAGAGAGAGAGAGAGAGCAGGCUGCUGUGCUCUCAGGAGCACGCAGGCCUCCGUGCUUCUGAGCCGUUUUCGAUGAUGGAAUUUUUGAAUCGACGAUCGGCUCCGUUAGACUUGAUCUAGCGUAUUUGAAGUUUCUAGAAAAUAAUUUUUGCGAUUUUUCGAUAUCAUUUAACUAACAAUCGAAAGGUUUCAAAAUCAAUAAUUUUUAACGGCUAAAAAUAAAAAUCCUAUAAAAAGUGGUGAUAUAGCACUAAAAUUUUCGAUUAGAAAUAUUGAUCUUGUUGUAGAUAGUAUAAAGAAGUUUGUAUA